GAUGAACGCUGGCGGCGUGCCUAAUACAUGCAAGUCGAGCGAAGCGGGGGCGGGGGAGUAACACGUGGAGGAACUCCCAUACGACGGGGGUAACUUAGGGAAACCGGUGCCAAACCGGAUACUGAUAGCUGGUUCCAGGCUGCAUUUGCUGGUUGGUAAGGUAACGGCUGACCAGGGCAACGAUGCAUAGCCGACCUGAGAGGGUGAUCGGCCACACUGGAACUGAGACACGGUCCAGACUCCUACGGGAGGCAGCAGUGGGGAAUCUUCCGCAAGGGGCGAAAGCCUGACGGAGCAACGCCGCGUGAGUGAUGAAGGCCUUCGGAUCGUAAAACUCUGUUAUUAGGGAAGCGGUACCUAAUCAGAAAGCCACGGCUAACUACGUGCCAGCAGCCGCGGUAAUUC
RNAcentral lists this ribosomal RNA (405 nucleotides) under uncultured bacterium. RNAcentral's name for it is "partial 16S ribosomal RNA". It matches the Rfam family "Bacterial small subunit ribosomal RNA", at positions 28 to 526 of the family's 1533-position model. The record is from RNAcentral.